Nanorana parkeri is the source of this 97-nucleotide long non-coding RNA. RefSeq lists it as uncharacterized. The transcript has 5 exons. The record is from RefSeq and is a predicted model, not a curated record. Lineage: Eukaryota; Metazoa; Chordata; Amphibia; Anura; Dicroglossidae.
CUUCUGCCACCUCCAUCCAGGUGCCUGGGCACGGCGCUGCAGCAUGGGAGGAGGAAGGUGGUGGAGGAAGAUUCCUCGGGGCUCCUGCCAGCUCAGC